UGUUGGCACAAAGAGAGGCUCUGGUAGUCCGGUGGCCAGUUGGAAACCCUUCACAUGUGACCUCAAGUUUCAAAAAGGAGUCAGUAAAGACAAAGGCAGUUUUGGGCAGCAGAAUGUGUUGAUUUGAAAUUCUGAGCGGCCGUGGCAUGCAGCAGGGUGACAACCAGGAUGCUCUAAUGGCCACGGACCUAGGACAGUGGCUUUCAGAAAGGACAGGUCUGGCAGCAUUCCCCAUUGUAAAUAUAGGGCAUAUCUCUUGAAGCAGUAGACUCUCUUUCAAAAGAAGAAACAACUUGGUCACCCCUGGACCAUUGGAAAGUAUUCCAAGUCCUGAUGUACAAAGAGUUUUGGAAAUGACCAUCACUAAAAUCAGAUCAGAAACAAAGAGUGUGAGAGUGGGAGGAAACAGGGGAGGGAGAAGCAAGAUGGUAAUCAGAAUGAUAUGGUUACAGUCACUAUUUCAUGAGCCAACAUAACUACAAUAAAA
Molecule: long non-coding RNA, 487 nt
Organism: Mauremys reevesii (Reeves's turtle)
Lineage: Eukaryota; Metazoa; Chordata; Testudines; Geoemydidae
Exons: 3
Source: RefSeq, a predicted model, not a curated record